Molecule: ribosomal RNA, 1462 nt
Filed under: metagenome
Description: bacterial LSU rRNA
Rfam family: Bacterial large subunit ribosomal RNA
Source: RNAcentral
UGUACUGCAUAUGGUCAGAACUGUGGGGACACGGGGUGUUAACGGAAGCCGGGAAAGGAAAGACCGGUCCAAGCACAGGAGGCGUUGCGCAGGCAAAUCCGCGCAAUAAGCCAAAGGUGUGACGGGGAGCGAAAUUAUAGUAGCGAAGUCCGGAUACAUGCUGUCAAGAAAAGCCGCUAUUGCGCCAUAUGUACCCGUACCGUAAACCGACACAGGUGGAUGAGGAGAGAAUCCUAAGGCCGGCGGGAGAAGUGUUGUUAAGGAACUCGGCAAAAUGGCCCCGUAACUUCGGGAGAAGGGGCGCCCAGAAAUGGGCCGCAGAGAAAAGGCUCAAGCAUCUGUUUAGCAAAAACACAGGUCUAUGCGAAACCGAAAGGUGAGGUAUAUGGGCUGACGCCUGCCCGGUGCUGGAAGGUUAAGGGGAGAGGUUAGCCGCAAGGCGAAGCUUUGAACUUAAGCCCCAGUAAACGGCGGCCGUAACAAUAACGGUCCUAAGGUAGCGAAAUUCCUUGUCGGGUAAGUUCCGACCCGCACGAAAGGCGUAAUGAUUUGAGCACUGUCUCGACAACACACCCGGUGAAAUUGAAAUACCAGUGAAGAUGCUGGUUACCUGCGCCAGGACGGAAAGACCCCAUGGAGCUUUACUCUAGUUUGAUACUGGGACCCGGUAUGACAUGUACAGGAUAGGAGGGAGGCAGAGAAUUAAUGACGCCAGUCAUUAAGGAGCCGCUGUUGGGAUACCACCCUUGUGAUGCCAGGUUUCUAACGAGCUGCCGUGAACCGGCAGGCGGACAAUGUCAGGCGGGGAGUUUGACUGGGGCGGUCGCCUCCGAAAGGGUAUCGGAGGCGCUCAAAGGUUCCCUCAGAAUGGUUGGAAACCAUUCGGAGAGUGCAAAGGCAGAAGGGAGCCUGACUGCGACACCGACGGGUGGAGCAGGUACGAAAGUAGGACUUAGUGAUCCGGUGGUAUAAAGUGGGAUUGCCAUCGCUCAACGGAUAAAAGCUACCCUGGGAUAACAGGCUUAUCACUCCCAAGAGUUCACAUCGACGGAGUGGUUUGGCACCUCGAUGUCGGCUCAUCGCAUCCUGGGGCUGGAGUAGGUCCCAAGGGUUGGGCUGUUCGCCCAUUAAAGCGGUACGCGAGCUGGGUUCAGAACGUCGUGAGGCAGUUCGGUCCCUAUCCGGCGCGGGCGUAAGAGAUUUGAGAGGAGCUGUCCUUAGUACGAGAGGACCGGGAUGGACGGACCACUGGUGUAUCUGUUGCACCACCAGGUGCACGGCAGAGUAGCCAAGUCCGGACGGGAUAAACGCUGAAGGCAUCUAAGCGUGAAGCCCCCCUCAAGUUGAGAUCUCUCAUUCGAAAGAAGUAAGACCCCUUGAAGACGACGAGGUAGAUAGGGCAGAGGUGGAAGGGCAGUAAUGUCCGGAGCUGACUGUUACUAAUCGGUCGAGGGCUUGACCU